This 485-nucleotide ribosomal RNA is filed under the name uncultured bacterium. Its description in RNAcentral is "partial 16S ribosomal RNA". It matches the Rfam family "Bacterial small subunit ribosomal RNA", at positions 899 to 1397 of the family's 1533-position model. The record is from RNAcentral.
ACUCAAAUGAAUUGACGGGGACCCGCACAAGCGGUGGAGCAUGUGGUUUAAUUCGACGGUAAGCGAGGAACCUUACCAGGUUUUGACAUUACCCUGCAAGCGCACGGAAACGUGUGACCUUCGAGGGUGGGUAACAGGUGCUGCACGGUUGUCGUCAGCUCGUGUCGUGAGAUGUUCCCUUAAGUGGGAGAACGAGCGCAACCCCCAUGAUAUGUUGAUUUUCAUAUCAGACUGCCAGCGUUUAAGCUGGAGGAAGGUGGGGAUGACGUCAAAUCAGCGUGGCUCUUACAAUCUGGGCGACACACGUGCUACAAUGCAUAGGAACAAAGGGACGCAACAUCGUAAGAUAGAGCAAAUCCUCUCAAAAACUAUGCUCAGUUCGGAUUGAGGGCUGCAACUCGCCCUCAUGAAGCUGGAAUCGCUAGUAACCGUGAAUCAGCCUCGUCACGGUGAAUACGUUCUCGGGUUUUGUACACACCGCCCGU